UGCAAGUCGAACGAACUCUGGUAUUGAUUGGUGCUUGCAUCAUGAUUUACAUUUGAGUGAGUGGCGAACUGGUGAGUAACACGUGGGAAACCUGCCCAGAAGCGGGGGAUAACACCUGGAAACAGAUGCUAAUACCGCAUAACAACUUGGACCGCAUGGUCCGAGUUUGAAAGAUGGCUUCGGCUAUCACUUUUGGAUGGUCCCGCGGCGUAUUAGCUAGAUGGUGGGGUAACGGCUCACCAUGGCAAUGAUACGUAGCCGACCUGAGAGGGUAAUCGGCCACAUUGGGACUGAGACACGGCCCAAACUCCUACGGGAGGCAGCAGUAGGGAAUCUUCCACAAUGGACGAAAGUCUGAUGGAGCAACGCCGCGUGAGUGAAGAAGGGUUUCGGCUCGUAAAACUCUGUUGUUAAAGAAGAACAUAUCUGAGAGUAACUGUUCAGGUAUUGACGGUAUUUAACCAGAAAGCCACGGCUAACUACGUGCCAGCAGCCGCGGUAAUACGUAGGUGGCAAGCGUUGUCCGGAUUUAUUGGGCGUAAAGCGAGCGCAGGCGGUUUUUUAAGUCUGAUGUGAAAGCCUUCGGCUCAACCGAAGAAGUGCAUCGGAAACUGGGAAACUUGAGUGCAGAAGAGGACAGUGGAACUCCAUGUGUAGCGGUGAAAUGCGUAGAUAUAUGGAAGAACACCAGUGGCGAAGGCGGCUGUCUGGUCUGUAACUGACGCUGAGGCUCGAAAGUAUGGGUAGCAAACAGGAUUAGAUACCCUGGUAGUCCAUACCGUAAACGAUGAAUGCUAAGUGUUGGAGGGUUUCCGCCCUUCAGUGCUGCAGCUAACGCAUUAAGCAUUCCGCCUGGGGAGUACGGCCGCAAGGCUGAAACUCAAAGGAAUUGACGGGGGCCCGCACAAGCGGUGGAGCAUGUGGUUUAAUUCGAAGCUACGCGAAGAACCUUACCAGGUCUUGACAUACUAUGCAAAUCUAAGAGAUUAGACGUUCCCUUCGGGGACAUGGAUACAGGUGGUGCAUGGUUGUCGUCAGCUCGUGUCGUGAGAUGUUGGGUUAAGUCCCGCAACGAGCGCAACCCUUAUUAUCAGUUGCCAGCAUUAAGUUGGGCACUCUGGUGAGACUGCCGGUGACAAACCGGAGGAAGGUGGGGAUGACGUCAAAUCAUCAUGCCCCUUAUGACCUGGGCUACACACGUGCUACAAUGGAUGGUACAACGAGUUGCGAACUCGCGAGAGUAAGCUAAUCUCUUAAAGCCAUUCUCAGUUCGGAUUGUAGGCUGCAACUCGCCUACAUGAAGUCGGAAUCGCUAGUAAUCGCGGAUCAGCAUGCCGCGGUGAAUACGUUCCCGGGCCUUGUACACACCGCCCGUCACACCAUGAGAGUUUGUAACACCCAAAGUCGGUGGGGUAACCUUUUAGGAACCAGCCGCCUAAGGUGGAC
Molecule: ribosomal RNA, 1446 nt
Filed under: Lactiplantibacillus plantarum
Lineage: Bacteria; Bacillati; Bacillota; Bacilli; Lactobacillales; Lactobacillaceae
Description: bacterial SSU rRNA
Rfam family: Bacterial small subunit ribosomal RNA
Source: RNAcentral